ACGCUGGCGGCACGCCUAACACAUGCAAGUCGAACGAAGUAGCAAUACUUAGUGGCAGACGGGUGAGUAACAUGUGGGUAUCUGCCCUUUGGCCUGGAAUAACACGAGGAAACUUGUGCUAAUACCGGAUAAGUCUUUACAGAGAAAGCUUUAUGCACCAUUGGAUGAGCCCGCAUUUGAUUAGUUUGUUGGUGGGGUAAUGGCCUACCAAGACUUUGAUCAAUAGCUGAUUUGAGAGGAUGAUCAGCCACAUUGGGACUGAGACACGGCCCAAACUCCUACGGGAGGCAGCAGUGGGGAAUCUUGCACAAUGGAGGAAACUCUGAUGCAGCGAUGCCGCGUGAGUGAAGAAGGCCCUUGGGUUGUAAAGCUCUUUCGUCGGGGAAGAAAAUGACUGUACCCGAAUAAGAAGGUCCGGCUAACUUCGUGCCAGCAGCCGCGGUAAUACGAAGGGACCUAGCGUAGUUCGGAAUUACUGGGCUUAAAGAGUUCGUAGGUGGUUGAAAAAGUUGGUGGUGAAAUCCCAGAGCUUAACUCUGGAACUGCCAUCAAAACUUUUCAGCUAGAGUUUGAUAGAGGAAAGCAGAAUUUCUAGUGUAGAGGUGAAAUUCGUAGAUAUUAGAAAGAAUACCAAUUGCGAAGGCAGCUUUCUGGAUCAUUACUGACACUGAGGAACGAAAGCAUGGGUAGCGAAGAGGAUUAGAUACCCUCGUAGUCCAUGCCGUAAACGAUGUGUGUUAGACGUUGGAAAUUUAUUUUCAGUGUCGCAGCGAAAGCGAUAAACACACCGCCUGGGGAGUACG
Molecule: ribosomal RNA, 803 nt
Filed under: uncultured Pelagibacteraceae bacterium
Lineage: Bacteria; Pseudomonadati; Pseudomonadota; Alphaproteobacteria; Candidatus Pelagibacterales; Candidatus Pelagibacteraceae
Description: bacterial SSU rRNA
Rfam family: Bacterial small subunit ribosomal RNA
Source: RNAcentral